Molecule: small RNA, 1774 nt
Filed under: Pongo abelii (Sumatran orangutan)
Lineage: Eukaryota; Metazoa; Chordata; Mammalia; Primates; Hominidae
Description: retained intron
Source: RNAcentral
AGUCCUGCUCCCACCCGCUCCCUGGAGAGCAGGCGGCCAGACACCCAGGUCAGUGCUCAGGGACCAGCUCUUGGCCCCUGCCUCUUGCAGGCGCUCGCAUGUGGCUCCUCUCGGACCCCGUAGUCCCUCUGUCAUAUCCCUUCUCUCCAGCUGUCCCCAUGCCUGCCUCCUACCCCUCCUAUUUGCUCUCCCUUCCACUCUGUCUUGCCUUUCUCGCUGGGGUGAAAAAGUCUUAUUCUCUUAAGCAUCUUUCAUCACUCUGGGUUUCACCUCAUUGACCCUGUUUGUCUCCUCUCAGUGUUUCUCUGGCUCUCAGACCGUAUCUCUAUUGCGUUUGUGAUUGUUUUGCUGUUGUUACCCACUGCACCGUAUGGUGGUGGGGGGCGGGGGGGUGUGUCUUUCAGUCUUUGCAUGUCUGUUUCUGCAUAUCCAAUCCCACUAUCCAUUCCCCUUCCUGUGCCUUCUUUUCCCCCAAAGCCCGUUAUCAUCACCCAACCCCCUGUGUAUUUCAAUCCUUUCUCUUGUUUACCUAUUCCUGUGAAGGCAAGGAUUUGGGGCUAUUUUGUCUCCUGCUGUGUUUGUUAGGCCUAGCACCGUGAUUGGCACAUAGAGGGUACUGAAUACUUACUGGGGAAUAAAUGAUUGGAUGUUUGCAUGCCCGGGUUUCCAGCCCCCUCCGGGAUGCUGGCCUCUGUCCCGCAUCCUCAAGGUCUGCCCACACCUGUCUGAGCCUGUCUGUCUCUGGUGCUCCUGUCUCACCUGCCACUGCCCCUCAUUGUCUCCUCCUGUCCACAGCCCCUGCCCCUCCCUGCCCCUGCCAUGGGGUCCUGAACUCUCACCCCUUCUCUCCUCCCUUCCCACAGAGGUUGGACCAGGAGCUGACCGGGAGCUGGGGCCACAGGCCUAGGAGCACCCUGGUCAGGGCUAAGGCCAUGGCCCCGCCCCCACCGCCACUGGCUGCCAGCACCCCGCUCCUCCAUGGCGAGUUUGGCUCCUACCCAGCCCGAGGCCCACGCUUUGCCCUCACCCUCACAUCGCAGGCCCUGCACAUACAGCGGCUGCGCCCCAAACCCGAAGCCAGGCCCCGGGGUGGCCUGGUCCCGUUGGCCGAGGUCUCAGGCUGCUGCACCCUGCGAAGCCGCAGCCCCUCAGACUCAGCGGCCUACUUCUGCAUCUACACCUACCCUCGGGGCCGGCGCGGGGCCCGGCGCAGAGCCACUCGCACCUUCCGGGCAGAUGGGGCCGCCACCUACGAAGAAAACCGUGCCGAGGCCCAGCGCUGGGCCACCGCCCUCACCUGUCUGCUCCGAGGACUGCCACUGCCCGGGGAUGGGGGUGAGGCGCUGGGCAGCUGCUCUGUCCUGGGGCCACCUUGGUGUCUCUGCAGAAUUUCCUCCAUAGGCAGCUGUGUCUUUAUUUUUCUGUGUCUGGGUGAUGUAUCUGUCUGGAUCCGUUAGGAGUGAUACACAGGGAUGGGCUACAGAAGAAACACAAAGACAAGAGGGCCGGAUGUGGUGGCUCAUGUCUGUAAUCCUAGCACUUUGGAGGCUGAGGUGGGCGGAUCACCUGAGGUCAGGAGUUCGAGACCAGCCUGGCUAACCCCAUGUCUACUAAAAAUACAAAAAAUUAGCCAGGUGUGGUGCCACGCACCUGUAAUCCCAGCUACAGGAGGGUGAGGCAGGAGAAUCGCUUGAACCCAGGAGGCAGAGGUUGCAGAGAGCCGAGAUCGCGCCAUUGCACUCCAGCUUGGGCAACAAGAGCAAAACUCUGUCUC